Molecule: ribosomal RNA, 374 nt
Filed under: uncultured bacterium
Lineage: Bacteria
Description: bacterial SSU rRNA
Rfam family: Bacterial small subunit ribosomal RNA
Source: RNAcentral
GACGAACCGUGCGAACGUUGUUCGGAUUCACUGGGCUUAAAGGGCGCGUAGGCGGGCCCCAACGCCCGCGGUGAAAGUCCCCGGCUCAACCGGGGAAGUGCCGCGGGUACGGGGGGCCUCGAGCGGUGCAGGGGCACGCGGAACUUCCGGUGGAGCGGUGAAAUGCGUAGAGAUCGGAAGGAACGCCGGUGGCGAAAGCGGCGUGCUGGGCACCUCCUGACGCUGAGGCGCGAAAGCCAGGGGAGCGAACGGGAUUAGAUACCCCGGUAGUCCUGGCCCUAAACGAUGGGCACUGGGCCGCGGGCCGGCAUGGGCUCGCAGCCGAAGCGAAAGUGGUUAGUGCCCCGCCUGGGGAGUAUGGUCGCAAGGCUGAA